CACAGUUUAAAAAGCAAUAAAAAAAAAAGAACUGAGAAGAUUUUAAUGUCUUUUUGCCGAAUACUUUACAGCUUGACAGCGGCAGUCAUGUCUGGAGAAGUCUUAUGACUCUGUAAAUCUUUUCGGCAGGCGGAAAUCGUCAGAUUUGCCGAAUGCUGCUUGGCGGAAGGAUCAAGUGAGAGACAGUGGUGACAGGGCCACAUUCAUUUUGCUGGUGACGUCAUGUACUACUACAUCACUACAGUCUUCCGGGAUGCGCGCACUGCGGACCCUCCCCCCUCCCACGGAACGUCACAUCAAAGCAGUUACUUCAAGCAUUGCAGCACGCACGCGCACACAAACGUUUAUAUAUGCGCAUAAAUACGAAUACACUCAUGUAUGUACAUAUAGACAUGUACAGGCACCCACACACGCAUACAAUCAUACAUACACACUCUCAUGCACACUUUCACCAACUCUAAGUUUCUAACACACACGCACGCACAUACAUCGGUAUAACAGCAAGACACGUGCAAUGGAGUGACGCCGGGUGGGAGCUGGGUGGAUGACGAGGGUAGGUGUGGGAGGGAGGAACAAGUACACGUGCAGUCAUGUGACUGUAGGGAUGGGGAUGGCGAGCAGUCGGAGGGAGCGCUGUCAGUUUGAUGGAACUGUCCACGGACGAGGCUAUCAUCAACAUUCCUUUCUCCUCCUGCCCUGCUCACGUGACACACCUUCAAACACUAAAUAACACUUCUUAUUCUAAAUAAAGGUAAAUAUCUUCGUUCAUGUUUACAACCCUCCAGUCUGAUAAAACUUGUACAAGCUGACCACUUCAGAUGGAGUACCAUUUUGCUGGGCUUGGUGGUGAGCAGAUUCAUUGACUGUCUCGUGAAAAGACUAUAAUCUGUGUAACCUUGUCAAAGGACACAUUUGUUUUGUUGUUAUUUACUUUACACUCAGCCAGGCGACAAGGGGACCACUACCUCCGAAUUAUGCAGUAAAGAAAGAUGACAAAGAAGCCAAAAAUUGAAUGUUACAAACAAAAGUCAACACGAGUUCAAAGACGAUGAUGUUAAUGACAAAAGUAGUCUCAGUUGGUCUUGGAUGUAGAACGUGUAGGUGAGCAUCAUUCUUCCUCCAGAAUGGGGACUGAAGGUAUUUCUGAUGGUGAUAGCCAUACCUGCAUUUCCCGUCAUUCAUUGCGCUGUGUGCGGAACUCGAGCUUUUCGCGGACGUAGCAAGUAAGUAGUCCAGGGGAGAGAAAGAGUGUGAGAGAAAGCGAUGGAGAAAGAGAGUGUGUGUGAGAUAGAGAGAUGGAGGAAGAGAGUGUAUGUGUGCGUUCAAGAAUAGUGUGUAGGGAUGGAGGAUGAGAAAUAAGUCGCUGGAGAGUCAGCCAUACCCCUCCCCUCACUCACCACCCGGGUCGGCAAGCGAGGGCCGCCUUGACACUCUUGAUGCAUGGGUAUGUCCUGAGGUUUUGACACUUGUCAUCCGUAAAGCCACUGCGCCUGCGCGUCACUCCUGACAGCGGCAGAUAACUCGACGUGCUCCAACGAGCUAAUUACUGCGCCUGGGAGGGGCGAUGACUGCUCACUGUCUACUGUUAUCAUAGCUUUGCAUGCCUGGCAGAAACAAUGAGUUGAGAAGUGGGGUGGGAGCAUAGGAUAGGGGGCAAUGAUUGUCAUAGACAGGUUUUUUCUUUUAUUUAUUUCAAAAUCUAAAUCUUGAAAACGGAAACGAACGAAUUAAAGCCAUUCCUUCCCUCUUCUCGCAGUUCGCCUCUCUCUCUCUGCUAUUCUUAGUAGCCAGAAAACAUUCUAUCCACUCACAGAAUGUUCACCACUUUUCAUUGUCACAAACGGACUUAUGAAUGACAAGAGUUCGUCACGGCCCAGCAGCAGUCUUGACACCAGCUCAGCCUCCACUGGAACUUUCCUCAAUCAUCGUCGUCGGAUACGUUACACCCCCCACCAGGCGAUAACGCCGACGGUCGACUGACGCCAUCUUAACUACCUUCUCCACCGCCUGCAGUGUCCCCAGCAGGUUCCACAAGCAACUUGGAGGACAGAUAACCGCGAUAUGGUGAGCAGCAUUCAGCCCUUUCACAGCACUGGUUGUCACAGUGUAUAUCCUUGUUGUCGGCGCCAAGAAUGUCAGAAGGACUUGCUCCGCCAUGCUCUAACAAAAGGCGCAGGCGAUUGGCUGCACACCAAGCUGACGUCAGUCCCUAUAUUUUGGAAUUACAGUUUCUGAACAGUCCAAAAAAGAGAAGCAGAAGAUUGACAGUGGGGAUAAAGCAAGAACAACACCAGUAACAUCGUCAACACCUUUGCGAAAGGUCAGGGCGGGGGCGGUCGUGGGCCCCGCUAACAGCCCCCGUGGGAUCACUUCAAAAGCAAACUGAUUAUCUCUGUGCCCGCGACACACAAGAAUGUUAUCGCAAACAGACCGGCCAGGGUCAACAUCACGGGGGCCGUAUCUGGAUUGCAAUCAAUAUGGCGCAACAAGACAGCAAUUGUCACGUGGUCGUCUGUCAGUAUCAAACUCAGGCCGACGCCGAGGCCGCAAUUAGCGAAUGUCAAUAACCUAUAGGUCGGCGGCGAUUGGGUUUGAUCAACGUGAAAUGCCAGCCACCUCCAGGAGAAAGUUCUCACAGAGACACCUAGCGGCCUGGGACUGCUGCCAGGGUGAGGCCUGCUCACUCAUUUUCUAUCUGAUCCAUUUAGACAUCUUGUGCGAAUAUACAGUCGUUCGUCUCGAAAGUGUUUUAGUUAGUACACAGCCUGACGAUAUUUUAAUUAUUGCUUAUGGACCAAAUUGUCAUCAAAAUCACUUCAUCAUGUCCCGCGGAGCAAUCUUGUAUCAUCAUUUUUUAAUGUUUUCGAACUAUGGUCAUCAUAGUGCAAUUAUAGUCGUCUGCCUCUCCUUGGUCCAAUUUCUCUUCAUUUCUGCCUUCAAUAUCCAAAAAAAAAAAAAAAAAAAGUAGGAAAAAGUCAACGAGAAUCUCAUUUCAUCUCAUCUCACUGCGGCUUACUCGGUGAGAACUGUAACGGGUGUUCCUGUGCCAGCCGCGGUGCUGCUCGCGAAGACAUUUUAAUUAUUGCUAAUUAUACUCACAAUCUUACACGUGCUCUGAUACCAGCGCCCCCUUAGCCGGCUCCGCCAUGCGAUACUCUUGAGGGUGUCUAUUAAUAAACAGUCUGGUCUGCUUGAUUAAAGGCAAAGUUUAGCUGGUAAUUAGGUUUACCAAACACCCGUUCUUGCGACCGCGGGGCUGAGAUAAGUGAGACUAAGAGGGGCCCUGGUGCUGGGGCUCAGACUACACACAGCUGCACCAUGGAGGGCCAUGGAGGGCCCCGUUGCCUAACGCAGAUAACGGCGAGCAAGAAUGUUAAGCGUUUGCUUAGGAAAACGUUCCUUAAUUGCACGUAGCAUGUGACCCCAGAUAUUCUACUAACAUACAGACUAACACGCAGGCAAACAGGCGGAAUCACAGACAACCAGACAGACAAACCUUUCUUUACAACCCACAUCACCAAAAGCAUCACGUGAGGAGAAAGGAUGAACUUUAGACCCAUGAGCCCUAGAAGUAGUUAGCUGACAAGAGUUCUUCGGGUAUUUAUCAUAAAAUUAGAGUAUUAUUAAAAUUUUACAGCAUUGGGUGAUUGAGUGCUGAUGUUUUCUGUCCAUGUGCAUCAUGUGUGUGCUCGCGUGUGUGUGUGAAAAAGAGAGAAAGAGAGUAGGGAGGGGGUAAGGACAGCAUAAAGAGAACAUUUGCGAUUAAAGACCACCUUUACAUGAAGUAUUUGAGAAGUUCAUUGCGAACUUUCUAUUUUUUUCUUCUUUUUUUUUUUCUCUCACUCUCCAUGCCUCUUUCUCCCGCUCUCUUCUUGCCUUUAUUGCUCUCUCUCUCUCUGCCUUCCCCCUCCCCUUUUCUCCUCACUUACUUCUCGUGCCUGCCUUCCUGUUUCUGUGUCAGGCUCUCAUUCAAACCUCGUCUUGGCUCCCUUCUCCCAACUCAUUUCUCGUCUUUGCAAAACCGCCUGCGUUCUAAACGAGUGUAUUGUGUUUGAAGGUAUUGUCCGCAUCUCUAAGCUGAAGCAGCUUGUGAAGGGCUGCAAGACGCCCAUGUAAUUUCCUCGCCCAUCUCCUCACCUCUUCACCAAGCGAGAAGUUAGUUUUUUUCUCUAUGAAGGCUUCCAAAAAAACGAGACCGAUUACGAGCAAUAGAAAUCUGUGGGACUAUUGAGCGUGGUCUGGGCGAGGGCGACAAUAGCGCUGACGUGAAGAGCCAUGAUUGAUGACGUCAAGAGAGCGUCAGAAACACUUCUCGCACAUCUCGCGUGACAGGCGGUAAACCAUCUCAACGUCUCCACGUCCUCACUUAACGUAUCUUGGCGUGUUUUGAGACAUAUUUGAGAACGACGACUACUUUUUUUUUUUUUUUUUACUGAAACAAAAAAGAUUUUUAUUUGAGAUUAAAGCUUCGGGAGCAAGUUUCGAGCAAAAUGUUUCCUAGUUUUUAAAAAGUUCGAAAAUUUCAUCGAAAAUUAUAGAAUCAC
RNAcentral lists this long non-coding RNA (4544 nucleotides) under Pomacea canaliculata. RNAcentral describes it as "uncharacterized LOC112571006". Lineage: Eukaryota; Metazoa; Mollusca; Gastropoda; Architaenioglossa; Ampullariidae. The record is from RNAcentral.